This 468-nucleotide ribosomal RNA is filed under the name uncultured bacterium. RNAcentral's name for it is "partial 16S ribosomal RNA". It matches the Rfam family "Bacterial small subunit ribosomal RNA", at positions 28 to 507 of the family's 1533-position model. The record is from RNAcentral.
GACGAACGCUGGCGGCGUGCUUAACACAUGCAAGUCGAACGGAAAGUCCCUGCUUUUGUGGGGUGCUCUAGUGGCGAACGGGUGAGUAACACGUUAGUAACCUGCCCUUGACUUUGGGAUAACUUCAGGAAACUGGGGCUAAUACCGGAUAGGAGCUCCUGCUGCAUGGUGGGGGUGGGAAAGUUUCGGCGGUUGGGGAUGGACUCGCGUCUUAUCAGCUUGUUGGUGGGGUAGUGGAUUAGCAAGGCUUUGACGGGUAGCCGGCCUGAGAGGGUGACCGGACCAAUUGGGCCUGGGAUGCGGCACAGACUAGUCCGGGAGGCAGCAGUGGGGAAUAGUGUACAAUGGGAGGAAGCCUGAUGCAGCACAGCCGCGUGGGGGAUGACGGCCAUCGGGUUGUAAACCGCUUUCGCCUGUGACGAAGAGUGAGUGACGGUAAUGGGUAAAGAAGCACCGGCUAACUACGUG